CAAUUGUUUACAAGGGGAUUAGGACACAGGAAGAUGGAUGUUUUUACAAAGGAAUUUAUGAACAAAGAGUAAAUGGGGAAGAAUGAGUUUAUUACUCAUGGAAGAUGAAAAGUUGGAUUGAAAUUAAAAGUAGGAACUAUAACUCAGAGAUUUUCAUAGAGUUGAAGCUGGGGCAUGAGAAGGGUUCUAAGGAAGAGUGCUAGGAUUGAGCUAAUUUGAGAUUUUAUCGAAGGGCGAAGCAAGUGAGGAGUCCUUAGUUUAAGCGUGUAUUGCUUCUUGUUUCAUUUCCAUGUAUUUUGAUGUUUUUCUUUGAGAGAAUAAAUAUGGGAGACAUAGACACAUGAAAUACUAUACUUGAAGUUUCUGUUAUACAUUUGAAAGGAUUUUAUGUUGAAUUAUGGUUGUCUUUGAAAGCCAUAUUUAAACUGCAAGUUGAAAAUCAUGUUUUCUGACA
Molecule: long non-coding RNA, 454 nt
Organism: Papaver somniferum (opium poppy)
Lineage: Eukaryota; Viridiplantae; Streptophyta; Magnoliopsida; Ranunculales; Papaveraceae
Exons: 2
Source: RefSeq, a predicted model, not a curated record